GUCUUGCAGGCUGGGGUCCCAGGUGAGAGAUGCCAGCAGGGAGCUCUAGAUGGGGAACUGGGUGAGCCUGGCUCGGUAAGGGCGUGCUCAGAACACCCCAUCCCCGAACACGGUCUUGUGUGAUAAAAUGUCACGCAAGAAGAAUCUGAAACCGCGAGAAGAGGAGGACACGGCCAGACUGCACCGAACCCCGGCACCUCUGUGGGGAAAAGCAGGUCAGGCUGAGCGGGGCCGGCGGGGACACGCGCUCCUGGGCUUCUCCAGAGUCUGCCGGGGCCGGGCCCGGGACCGAGGCUGGGACGCGCUGUGCAGUCCCACCCCUCACACCCCUCGCACGCCUGGAAACACCCUCGGGGUAACACAAGCCGGGGUUGAGUUUCUUGAAGAGAAGCUGGCUGCAUCCUGGAGCCAGGGAAAGAGGAGCACAGGGGCCAAGCGGUCCAGGGCCACGGAGGAGCAGGACCCCUGGGGAAAGGCCCGGGUCUAGGCCGGGGCCAGGGGACCGUGGUGGAGACCUCAAAAAUGGCAGAACACGGAAGCAGGGCGAGAAAAGUAAACGUAGUCCUUGCGGCAGUUUGAAAUACACGCGGGUAAACGCUGGGUGACUCCGCCCGGAUGCAGAGUGGGGGUCUGUGUCUCUCCCCACAGGCUGCAGGGACCGGGCUCUGGGUAACCAGCAGAAGGUAACAGAACGAGGCUGCUUUUCCUCCAGGCUGUUCUGGUGUCCGCGCGUGGCUUGUGCGCUGACUCCUGACUUGGAGCGCCGCGUGGCCAGAGAAAUCUGGGUGCCUCCAGGCCACCAUGGUGAGAGGAGAGGCCACCGCACGAACGGAAGAAGCGAUGGAGACGGUCUUUACGACCUAAGAACAGAAAGAGUUUCUUAUACACAAUCCGAAAAGUAAAAAUUGAUUGAUUGAUUGAUUGAGAUGGAAUCCCACUCUGUCGUCCAGGUUAGAGUGCAAUGGCUUGAUCUCGGCUCAUUGCAACCUCCGCCUCCCGGGUUCAAGCGAUUCUCCUGCCUCAGUCUCCCGAGUAGCUGGGAUUAUAGGCGCCCGCCACCACGACUGGCUAAUUUUUAUAUUUUUAGUAGAGACGCAGUUUCACCGUGUUGACCAGGCUGGUCUUGAACCCCUGACCUCAGGUGAUCCGCCUGCCUCGGUCUCCCAAAGUGCUGGGAUUACAGGCGUGAGCCACCGUGCUGGGCCAAAAAUCAAUUUUAAAACGACCACAUGAAAAAUAAAUCUCCUGUAUCACAGAGCAUGUUCUGAGGAAAAUGAAAGCCACAGAUCCAGAAGAUAUUUGUGACACAUAUGAAAAACAAAAACUCAUAUUCAAAACAUACACAGCAUUGCUAUGAAUCAUUAAGAAAAAUGAUUUCGUCUCCUCUACAGGAGCCUGAGUGAAGGACAAGGACAGAUCAUUAUAAACCAGGGAGCUUGAAGAGCUAGUUAACAAGCACAGAAAAUAUGUUCCCCCACACUGUUAAUCAAGAAAAUUAAAACUGUAAUGAGAUGCCGCAUUGUAUCCAUGGGAUUUCUAAAAGUACAAAGUUCCACAAUACCCGUUGUUGACGGAGCAGGGAAACCGCAGGAGCCUGCAGGAGAUGAGAUUGUAAAUGUGCAAGGACAUUUUGGAGAAGAGUUGACAACAUCUCACUCACGUGUAUCAAGCCAAGUGCCGAAAGAAGAAUUGGUUGUCAUAAAGAAAACAGAAACCCAGAAUGGAUGUAGCUUAUCCCUCCGAUGGAAAGUUACAAAGAAGUUAAAAUGAAUGGGCUGCAUCUCUGUGUAACAAUUUGGAUCAAUAUCAAAGACACAUUUGUUAAAGCAAGGUGUACAAUGAAACCUGCAACAUGAUUUGUCUGUUUAGUAAAACACAGAAAAUCUAACUCCGCCUGGCUUACGAACACACACAUGUGUUAGAAUUUGGGAAAAGGAAAGGGAGGGAGGCCGGCUACACGUGAACUUUUGGAAAAUCUCAGAGGGUCUGGGGCACCAGGUGGAGACCAUGGCAGCCUUCAGGGAUAUGAGGUCAAAUGAGAUGCUGCCUUUCCACCAGAUAAAGAUUUACCUGGUGCCUCUGUUACUGCCCAGCAGCGCCUGAGGACGUGGGGGCUGCUGCCCAACACGGAGGCUGGGCUGGCCUGGUCCGUGGGCUCAGGUUCUCAUCCUCUGCACGUGCAUCUGCCUCCUGUGCGUCUCUGUGCACACGCUUGUAUCUGGAUGCAGAGUCCUGUGCCCAGUGUACAUGCACAGAUGUGCGCAUCUGGGUAGAUGUGCUGGUUCGCUGUGUGAGCAUGCACAGACCCUUGUUCACCGUGUGUGCGCAUCCGUGCAGUGUGGACAUCUGGACAGGACCCCGUGCUCCCUGUCUCUGCCGCUGAGAUGUUUCCUAGCUGUGCACAGAAUUCACUCUCCUACUGGAGGGCUCUGACUGAAAGCUCUGAUGCGGCAGGCCUUCUCUUGACACUUGGUUAAGAAGGAUGUGUUUGCUUCCCCUUCUGCCAUGAUUGGAAGUUUCCUGAGACCCCUCCAGCCAUGCUGAACUGGACACUACACAGGCCCGUGACCAUCACACGCCCAGCCUGGCCCCGUGCUGUGCCUGAGCAGAGGACUGUUGGCAGAUGGUUCACUUCCACCCUCCAUGAUAAAUGCUGAGAAAAGAAAGAUCAAGGGCUUCAGAGCCCACUGGAGGGAAUUCAUACAGCCGGGGGCCCAGGAAGCUGCUAAGGAAACUGCCUGGACGGCAGGGUGGCCGUGACCACGGGGACGGGGAGAAGGACCCAGAGGAGCUGAGGAAUCCUUGCUGUGGAAGGCACCAUAUGAGCUGCGUGAAGUCAGAGUCAAAAGCAAACCCGUCUCUUCUUGACAGUGGGACCCAGGAGGCAGGACAACCUGCCAGAGAGGCUGAAGGAGGUUCCCUCAGGCUGGAUCCUCGACAAGAAAAAGGAAGAGGGUCUGCCUGAUUCCCUCGCCAACAACAGCUGGUCUUCCAGAAGUCAGCAAUCUCUUGUCCCUUGUCUUCAAAAGCCCAUGGAGCUGGAGGCAGGCAGCUGAGGUCAGGAAGAGAAGGUGCGACCCAGUCCAGGAAGGCUGAGUCCUCGUGAACCCUCAGGGCUGGGGUGAGGGGCCAGUGCCCGGCCCAGACACCAGCACAGCCCUGCAGUGGGAGUUGAUCUCAGCAGAUGGACGGGCACCGCCCAGAGGAUGGACUGGUCAGCACCGCCCGGAGGAUGGACCGCUCAGCACCGCAGUGGCCGCUUGGCCUAAUUUGCCACCUGAAGAGCCGCCAGGUCUCCAGUGACUCUAGCACCAUGGACAGGAGAGGAGCAGGGUGACCUGAGGGUACAGAGAAGGUUCUGCUGUAAUCAAGUUCCCCUGCCUGGUCAGAGGGCUCAGAGGUUUGAGAGGGGAGGGAUUUCCUUUUAAAGCUGCAGGAUCCCUGUGGGUCCAGAAAGAAACACAGCCAUGGCGGGCAUCCCAUGGAGGGUAGUGACCAGGAGCAGGACAAAGGUGGAAGGUGGGUGGAGCCCCCACAUGGGCCUCAGGUCACAUUGGACAUUUCCUCAGCAAGUGUCACCUGGGUGGUGACGAAUGGGGGAGGAGAACAGAUGGAAUGCGGAGAGUAGCAGUGUGAAGCUGCACCGCCUGGUCACCACUCGAGAUACACAGGGUUUGCUCUGCCUGAGGAGCACACGCUGGCUGCAGACACGGGGCAACCACGUGAGAAAGGUCAGACCCAGGCCCACUCGCCUUCCAUAUGCAUCUUAGGGACGGGGAUGCCUGCGCCAGCAGCAGCCUUGCUGCCCCUGCGUCCCCCAGUGCACCUGCCAGGGCAAAGCCAACAGGCAGUGCCAAGGACCUGAGGGAGGAGGUGGGCUUGACUUCGAGGCAGGGCACAGACACCAGACCACGUGGAGGAGCAGCUGAAACAGGGCCGGUGGCAGCAGCCGCCUGUGAGACGUGCCAGCCGGUGAGCCUUGUUAGUUUACCAUUGCCACGGCAAGACCCAGAAGUUACUGCCACUUCCCACGGUAAAAUCCCAAUGACCCUGAGGUUUCUGCUCCUUUUCUAGAAAUUUCUGCAUAAACCAACCCCUAAUUAGCAUGUAGUUAAAAGUGGGUGUAAUUAUGAUGCGGAGCUGCCUCUGAGCUGCUCUUCUGUGCACUCUGCUGUCCUGGGGCAGCCCCUCUGCUGCCGCUGCAAUAAAAGCUGCUAACAGCA
RNAcentral lists this long non-coding RNA (4223 nucleotides) under Homo sapiens (human). RNAcentral describes it as "neuronal hypoxia inducible, placenta associated, transcript variant 10 (NHIP)". The record is from RNAcentral. Lineage: Eukaryota; Metazoa; Chordata; Mammalia; Primates; Hominidae.